Molecule: ribosomal RNA, 425 nt
Filed under: uncultured bacterium
Lineage: Bacteria
Description: bacterial SSU rRNA
Rfam family: Bacterial small subunit ribosomal RNA
Source: RNAcentral
UGGGGAAUAUUGCGCAAUGGGGGAAACCCUGACGCAGCGACGCCGCGUGGGUGAUGAAGGCCUUCGGGUCGUAAAGCCCUGUCGUAGGGGAAGAACCGGUUACGGGCUAAUAUCCCGUGACCUUGACGGUACCCUACAAGCAAGCACCGGCUAACUCCGUUCCAGCAGCCGCGGUAAUACGGAGGGUGCGAGCGUUGUUCGGAAUUACUGGGCGUAAAGAGCGUGUAGGCGGCUUGCCAAGUCCGAUGUGAAAGCCCGGGGCUUACCCCCGGAAGUGCGUUGGAAACUGGCGAGCUAGAGUAUGGGAGAGGGAAGUGGAAUUCCUGGUGUAGCGGUGAAAUGCGUAGAUAUCAGGAGGAACACCGGCGGCGAAGGCGGCUUCCUGGACCAAUACUGACGCUGAGACGCGAAAGCGUGGGGAGCAA